GUGCCAGCCGCCGCGGUAAUACGGAGGAUCCUAGCGUUAUCCGGAUUUACUGGGUUUAAAGGGUGCGUAGGCGGGCGCUUAAGUCCGCGGUGAAAGUCUGCGGCUCAACCGUAGGAUUGCCGUGGAUACUGGGCGUCUUGGAUUCGGUCGGGGCGGGCGGAAUGCGUGGUGUAGCGGUGAAAUGCAUAGAUAUCACGCAGAACGCCGAUAGCGAAGGCAGCUCGCCGGGCCGACAUCGACGCUGAGGCACGAAAGCGUGGGGAUCAAACAGG
This 272-nucleotide ribosomal RNA is filed under the name uncultured bacterium. RNAcentral describes it as "partial 16S ribosomal RNA". It matches the Rfam family "Bacterial small subunit ribosomal RNA", at positions 505 to 776 of the family's 1533-position model. The record is from RNAcentral.